MicroRNA precursor from Oryza sativa Japonica Group (Japanese rice), 210 nucleotides. It matches the Rfam family "MIR812 microRNA precursor family". NCBI's taxonomy places the organism in Eukaryota, Viridiplantae, Streptophyta, Magnoliopsida, Poales, Poaceae. The record is from Rfam.
UAUAAAUGCAACCAUGAGUUUUCGUGCUUAACUUUGAUCAUCUGUCUUAUUUGAAUUUUUUUUAUAAUUAGUAUUUUUUUUUGUUGUUAUGAGAUGAUAAAAUAUUAAUAGUACUUUACUUGUUACUUAUGUUUUUAAUUUUUUUUCAAGAAAUUUUUAGAUAAGACGGACGAUUAAAGUUGGACGCGGAAAACCAUAGGUGCACUUAAA